CCUACGGGAGGCUGCAGUGGGGAAUAUUGGGCAAUGGGCGCAAGCCUGACCCAGCAAUGCCGCGUGAAGGAAGAAGGCUUUCGGGUUGUAAACUUCUUUGACAGGGGAAGAGCAGAAGACGGUACCCUGAAAACAAGCCACGGCUAACUACGUGCCAGCAGCCGCGGUAAUACGUAGGGAGCAAGCGUUGUCCGGAAUUACUGGGCGGAAAGGGCGCGUAGGUGGGCGCUUAAGUCAGGUGUGAAAACUACGGGCUCAACCUGGAGACUGCACUUGAAACUGGGUGUCUUGAGGGCAGGAGAGGAAAGUGGAAUUCCUAGUGUAGCGGUGAAAUGCGUAGAUAUUAGGAGGAACACCAGUGGCGAAGGCGACUUUCUGGACUGUACCUGACGCUGAGGCGCGAAAGCGUGGGUAGCGAACGGGAUUAGAUACCCCUGUAGUC
RNAcentral lists this ribosomal RNA (442 nucleotides) under uncultured bacterium. Its description in RNAcentral is "partial 16S ribosomal RNA". It matches the Rfam family "Bacterial small subunit ribosomal RNA", at positions 338 to 795 of the family's 1533-position model. The record is from RNAcentral.